UUAAGCGACUAAGCGUACACGGUGGAUGCCCUGGCAGUCAGAGGCGAUGAAGGACGUGCUAAUCUGCGAAAAGCGUCGGUAAGGUGAUAUGAACCGUUAUAACCGGCGAUGUCCGAAUGGGGAAACCCAGUGCAAUUCGUUGCACUAUCGUUAACUGAAUACAUAGGUUAACGAGGCGAACCGGGGGAACUGAAACAUCUAAGUACCCCGAGGAAAAGAAAUCAACCGAGAUUCCCCCAGUAGCGGCGAGCGAACGGGGAGCAGCCCAGAGUCUGAAUCAGCUUGUGUGUUAGUGGAACGGUCUGGAAAGUCCGACGGUACAGGGUGAUAGUCCCGUACACCAAAAUGCACAGGUUGUGAACUCGAAGAGUAGGGCGGGACACGUGGUAUCCUGUCUGAAUAUGGGGGGACCAUCCUCCAAGGCUAAAUACUCCUGACUGACCGAUAGUGAACCAGUACCGUGAGGGAAAGGCGAAAAGAACCCCGGCGAGGGGAGUGAAAAAGAACCUGAAACCGUGUACGUACAAGCAGUGGGAGCACCUUCGGGUGUGACUGCGUACCUUUUGUAUAAUGGGUCAGCGACUUAUAUUCUGUAGCAAGGUUAACCGUAUAGGGGAGCCGCAGGGAAACCGAGUCUUAACUGGGCGUUAAGUUGCAGGGUAUAGACCCGAAACCCGGUGAUCUAGCCAUGGGCAGGUUGAAGGUUGGGUAACACUAACUGGAGGACCGAACCGACUAAUGUUGAAAAAUUAGCGGAUGACUUGUGGCUGGGGGUGAAAGGCCAAUCAAACCGGGAGAUAGCUGGUUCUCCCCGAAAGCUAUUUAGGUAGCGCCUCGUGAAUUCAUCUUCGGGGGUAGAGCACUGUUUCGGCUAGGGGGUCAUCCCGACUUACCAACCCGAUGCAAACUACGAAUACCGAAGAAUGUUAUCACGGGAGACACACGGCGGGUGCUAACGUCCGUCGUGAAGAGGGAAACAACCCAGACCGCCAGCUAAGGUCCCAAAGUCAUGGUUAAGUGGGAAACGAUGUGGGAAGGCACAGACAGCCAGGAUGUUGGCUUAGAAGCAGCCAUCAUUUAAAGAAAGCGUAAUAGCUCACUGGUCGAGUCGGCCUGCGCGGAAGAUGUAACGGGGCUAAACCAUGCACCGAAGCUGCGGCAGCGACACUAUGUGUUGUUGGGUAGGGGAGCGUUCUGUAAGCCUGCGAAGGUGACCUGUGAGGGUUGCUGGAGGUAUCAGAAGUGCGAAUGCUGACAUAAGUAACGAUAAAGCGGGUGAAAAGCCCGCUCGCCGGAAGACCAAGGGUUCCUGUCCAACGUUAAUCGGGGCAGGGUGAGUCGACCCCUAAGGCGAGGCCGAAAGGCGUAGUCGAUGGGAAACAGGUUAAUAUUCCUGUACUUGGUGUUACUGCGAAGGGGGGACGGAGAAGGCUAUGUUAGCCGGGCGACGGUUGUCCCGGUUUAAGCAUGUAGGCUGAUUGUCCAGGCAAAUCCGGAUAAUCAAGGCUGAGGUGUGAUGACGAGGCACUACGGUGCUGAAGUAACAAAUGCCCUGCUUCCAGGAAAAGCCUCUAAGCAUCAGGUAACAUUAAAUCGUACCCCAAACCGACACAGGUGGUCAGGUAGAGAAUACCAAGGCGCUUGAGAGAACUCGGGUGAAGGAACUAGGCAAAAUGGUGCCGUAACUUCGGGAGAAGGCACGCUGGUGUGUAGGUGAAGCCCCUGCGGGUGGAGCUGAGACCAGUCGAAGAUACCAGCUGGCUGCAACUGUUUAUUAAAAACACAGCACUGUGCAAACACGAAAGUGGACGUAUACGGUGUGACGCCUGCCCGGUGCCGGAAGGUUAAUUGAUGGGGUUAUCCGUAAGGAGAAGCUCUUGAUCGAAGCCCCGGUAAACGGCGGCCGUAACUAUAACGGUCCUAAGGUAGCGAAAUUCCUUGUCGGGUAAGUUCCGACCUGCACGAAUGGCGUAAUGAUGGCCAGGCUGUCUCCACCCGAGACUCAGUGAAAUUGAACUCGCUGUGAAGAUGCAGUGUACCCGCGGCAAGACGGAAAGACCCCGUGAACCUUUACUAUAGCUUGACACUGAACAUUGAGCCUUGAUGUGUAGGAUAGGUGGGAGGCUUUGAAGCGUGGACGCCAGUCUGCGUGGAGCCAACCUUGAAAUACCACCCUUUAAUGUUUGAUGUUCUAACGUUGGCCCCUGACCGGGGUUGCGGACAGUGUCUGGUGGGUAGUUUGACUGGGGCGGUCUCCUCCCAAAGCGUAACGGAGGAGCACGAAGGUUAGCUAAUCCUGGUCGGACAUCAGGAGGUUAGUGCAAUGGCAUAAGCUAGCUUGACUGCGAGCGUGACGGCGCGAGCAGGUGCGAAAGCAGGUCAUAGUGAUCCGGUGGUUCUGAAUGGAAGGGCCAUCGCUCAACGGAUAAAAGGUACUCCGGGGAUAACAGGCUGAUACCGCCCAAGAGUUCAUAUCGACGGCGGUGUUUGGCACCUCGAUGUCGGCUCAUCACAUCCUGGGGCUGAAGUAGGUCCCAAGGGUAUGGCUGUUCGCCAUUUAAAGUGGUACGCGAGCUGGGUUUAGAACGUCGUGAGACAGUUCGGUCCCUAUCUGCCGUGGGCGCUGGAGAAUUGAGGGGGGCUGCUCCUAGUACGAGAGGACCGGAGUGGACGCAUCACUGGUGUUCGGGUUGUCAUGCCAAUGGCACUGCCCGGUAGCUAAAUGCGGAAGAGAUAAGUGCUGAAAGCAUCUAAGCACGAAACUUGCCCCGAGAUGAGUUCUCCCUGAGACUUUAAGUCUCCUGAAGGAACGUUGAAGACGACGACGUUGAUAGGCCGGGUGUGUAAGCGCAGCGAUGCGUUGAGCUAACCGGUACUAAUGAACCGUGAGGCUUAACCUU
Molecule: ribosomal RNA, 2900 nt
Filed under: Klebsiella pneumoniae MGH 39
Lineage: Bacteria; Pseudomonadati; Pseudomonadota; Gammaproteobacteria; Enterobacterales; Enterobacteriaceae
Description: bacterial LSU rRNA
Rfam family: Bacterial large subunit ribosomal RNA
Source: RNAcentral